RNAcentral lists this ribosomal RNA (255 nucleotides) under uncultured bacterium. Its description in RNAcentral is "partial 16S ribosomal RNA". It matches the Rfam family "Bacterial small subunit ribosomal RNA", at positions 524 to 776 of the family's 1533-position model. The record is from RNAcentral.
UACAGAGGCCUCGAGCGUUAAGGCGGAAUCACUGGGCUUAAAGCGCGGUGUAGGUGGCGGCCUAAGUACCUUGUGAAAUCCUGCGGCUCAACCGCAGAACUGCUUGGUAUACUGGGUCGCUUGAGACAUUCAGGGGCAACUGGAACAAGCGGUGGAGCGGUGAAAUGCGUAGAUAUCGCUUGGAACGCCAAAGGUGAAAACAGGUUGCUGGGGAUGUUCUGACACUGAGACGCGAAAGCCAGGGGAGCGAACGGG